Molecule: long non-coding RNA, 373 nt
Organism: Pezoporus occidentalis (night parrot)
Lineage: Eukaryota; Metazoa; Chordata; Aves; Psittaciformes; Psittacidae
Exons: 3
Source: RefSeq, a predicted model, not a curated record
UUGCACACAGGCGGUGGUGAGAGGUUGUGUGGUCUUUACUGGGACGUGUGCCCAAAGUCAGCAUGCCACUGCAUGAGCAGGGGAUGUGCCUAACACAGCAGUGGAUGCCUGCUGACGCAAAGGUGAAGACAUCAACAACCAGUGGCCCCCGUUGUUGAUCAGACUGAACUACAAGGACCGAGCAUGAUGAGCAGAGGGUCAGGUCCUUUAAAAGAAUGACUAGAGCAUCUGGCUAUCCACACUGAAGCAGUGUACACCCACCUGACAAGAAUCUGUCUCCAUAACAUAGAUGAUACUUGUGUUUACUUCAAGUACUUUGCAUCUUUAUGCUUCUGUUGAAUGGACAAGUGCUGGCACGUUCUUUUAAAUAUGG